GCACAUAAAGGUCUUGCUCCAUUCUACCAUCACUAUUACAACUGGGCAUCUGUGUCCCUGCUUAUUGGGUGUUGAGCCAGUGGAAGUCUGUCUUUCUGAAACUGCUUUUCCCUUUAAAAAUUCUAUUUCUCAAUUGCUUUUUUAUUUAUAUUAAUAUGAAUUAUGAUUAAACAGUGAGGAACAUGUAAUUUCUUUUUUUUUUUAAUUCAGAAAAAAAAAGAAGUGGUUUUGCUUGAUUAAUUGCUUGGUUUUGUUUUAUUGUUUCAAGGGGUUUUUUUCUGCUGUCUCACUCUUAAGCAAGCUCCUAAGACCACCUUUAGUUUGCUCUUCUAGGACAGCACUAAAGAAUUUUCUUUUUACAGUGUAACACUUUCUGCUAUAGGUCUGAAGUUCCAAAACUCAAAAGUAUUUUUACAAGGAAACUGGACUUUUAAUUCCUUCUUUUGUUGGCACCUCUUACCAGGUCAGAUUAUUAAACAUAACUGACGUGUGUGAAAGAAACGUGGAGAAAGUCCCAGAGUAUCUUAUGAUAGGGUAUUUAUAGUGAGCUAUUCAUGGACAUGGGCUCUGCAGAGAUUGUUUACAAUCCUGAAAAUGUCACUUUCAACUCAAUAAUCGCUUCUUCAAAGGCAGAGAUUUUCCCUCUUUCAGAAGGUGAGGAAACACAGUAUAUUUUCUCAAUUCAUAGGAAAAUUAGUAGUAUGUUUAGGAAAAAAAGUAGUUUAUGUACUCAUUGAGCCACAGUAAAAUCAAUUACUAACAGUUUCUUGCUGUAUAUGUGUUAAUAUAUUUUUCUUUUUUGCUAUAUGUGCAAGGCCUUACAAUCACACAUUAGGUGGACCAGGUAACAAAUUAAAUUAUACAGAUUUGCUAUGAAUUGCUGCUGUCAAACUUUAAGAUAUUUCUAGAAUUAGUCCAAGCUUUGUAGUUGGCUUGUUGACAACUUCCUUAAAUUUCCUGUACUCAUUCAUUUUGCCAAGUUGUUUAUUAGCUUUCAAUUUUAUUUAUUUAUUUUAUUUUACCUUGCCCUGUAGUUUUGUUUUGUUUUGUUUUUUCAGGCCAGCUCUCUUGAAAGACAGAAGUGGAAAUUUUGAUAAGGUAAAACACAAGAGAGGUUUGAGCCUAACAGAGCAGCUGAGAUCUUGAAUCUGCCAAGAACAGCGUGACUGCUUAAUCAUAUAACAGUGUAGUCAUUUAUUUUAAACUGUGUUUCAUUUCUCUUGAUCCUGACACGGUGUUUGCUGUUUCUAUUGUUCCAGAUCUAACCUGAAGAUUUAAUAUCUGCCUCUAGUUAAAAAAGCAGUGUUUCCCUACAGAAGUGAUUCAUGUGGUGCUGAUUUGCCAUGAAUAAUUCUGUGUAUAUGGUUGAUGGUGAUUCUGAUGAGGAAAUCUCUACCCAGAGAGCUAUUCAGGAAAGCUUACAAGAUAGGCAUAAAUUUGAAACAAGUGGCAGUGCAACAGAGAUUGAAAGUUUCCAGUAUACUGCAAGUAAAGAACAUGGGCAGAUCAUUGCAGCGAUUCGGACAGGCCAAGAGGAGGCCUUGAAGAAGCUGGUGAGGCACAGUUCUGCUGUUGAAGAAGCAGAUCAGCAAGGCUGGCUUCCUGUGCAUGAAGCUGCAGCACAGCUAAAUAAGAACAUCCUUGAAAUAACUUUAAAAGCCUCCCGUGACAUUACGUGGGAACAGUCCACUCUAAAAGGGGAAACACCUCUCUUGGUGGCAGUAAGGAAUUGUUUUGUGGACAAUGUCCACUUUCUCCUGCUCAAUGGCUGCAAUCCCAAUGUUAAAAAUGAAGAGGGAGAUUCUCCUUUAGUUAUAGCAAUUAAACUUGAUUCCUAUGACAUUGCCUCCUUGCUGCUGCGAUCUGGUGCCAGAGUGAAUUUGCGCUGUGUCCAUGAGAGAACUGCUCUGCACGAGGCAGCCAGACUGGGCAGGAAGGAUCUGGUUCAGCUGCUCCUGGAGUCUGGGGCAGAUCCUGACCCCCGCAGUGGAUAUGGGCUCACACCUCUAGCACUGGCUGCACAGAUGGGACAUACAGAAAUUAUGGAGCUCUUACUGCAAAAAGGUGCAGAUGUUCUUUCACAGGCAAUGGACUGUGCUUCUAUAUUGUUUGAAGCAGCAGGAGGAGGAAAUCCAGACUCUGUGAGUCUUUUACUAGAAUAUGGGGCUGAUGCCAAUGUACCAAAGCACUCGGGUCAUUUGCCAAUCCACAGAGCUGCAUAUAGAGGACACUUUCUAGCUCUAAAAUAUUUAGUUCCAGUGACUGAUUUUUCUGCCAUUAAAGAAAGUGGGAUAAGCCCAGUUCACUCAGCAGCAGCAGGAGCACAUCCCCAGUGCCUUGAGUUUCUCCUGCAGUCGGGUUUUGACGCCAAUUUUAUGCUGGCUCAGAGAGUUCGCAAGGGCUACGACGACCACCGCAAAUCAGCGCUGUACUUCGCAGUUUCCAACGGGGAUAUCUGCUCAACGCAGCUGCUGCUCAACGCCGGAGCCCUGACAAACCAAGACCCCAUCAACUGCCUCCAAAUAGCCUUGAGAAUGGGCAACUACGAGUUAAUGAACCUGCUGCUCCGCCACGGGGCCAACGUCAACUACUUCUGCCGCGUGAACACCACGCACUUCCCCUCAGCCCUGCAGUACGCCCUCAAGGAUGAGGUGAUGCUGAGGAUGCUGCUGAACUACGGCUACGACGUGCACCGCUGCUUCGACUGCCCGCGGGGCAGCGGCGAGCACGCCCAGUACGUGACGGACGGCUGGACCUCCACCGUCAUCAAAGACACCAUGUUCUGUGAAGUGAUAACCUUGUCCUGGCUGAAGCACGUGUCUGGGAAAGUAGUGCGAGUCAUGUUAGAUUACGUUGAUCAUGUUAAGAUUUGCUGGAAGCUCGAAGCAGUUCUCAAAGAACAGGAACUCUGGCCAGACAUCCAUUUCAUUUUAACAAAUCCCCGCUCUCUGAAGCACCUUUGCCGUCUGAAGAUCCGGGCGUGCAUGGGCCGGCUGCGCCUCCGCUGUCCUGUCUUCAUGUCCUUCCUUCCACUGCCAAACUGCUUGAAAGAUUACAUCCUGUACAAGGAAUAUGAUCUUUAUGGACAGGAAAACUACACAGGGAUCUACAACCUCAACUGUGCAUAAGUAUUUGUCCUGUACUCUGAAGGGAAUUUAAUGUGGAUAAGACUGUUGUGCUUUUUUCUUUUGGGAUUUUCUCUCCUCUGUAUAUUAAGGAAUGCCGGCGCUCUCCCCUCACCCCCUGAAGAAAAUAGUGAGACCCCCCAAAAUGUAAGUACUGGUGAUCCCAUUCUAAAGAUCUCCUGGACUAUGACCUAUCUGCAAGUUAUGGUAACAGUAUUUUAAUGCCUGGUGUGACAAGGAAGUGUACAAUACAGGGCUGCAAGACUUGUGUUGUGGCCAAGUUAAGGCUUGUCAUACCAGAUACCACUACCCUCAUUCCAGGAUUAAACUCAGGGUUUAGUUAAAGGUCAGGGAUUUGACUCCAGGGACACAGUUUUUUCUCUCUUGUACUGCUUCCUUUCUCGUGACAAUAAGUUUUUAUUUGUGAAGUCCUACAGUGAAGUUCUGAAGAGCAACUUCAGUAAUUCUUUUCUUCACCCAAUAAAGCAAACUCCCAUUCUAGUCAAUCAAAUGGGAUUAAGCUUGAGAAACCUCUGCUUAUCACUGCAGGUCUUGUGACAUACCAAUGUUUCAUCAAGGUGGCACUGCUAAAAGCUGUGUUAGUUCUGCAGCUCCUUCUCAGGUACUGCUAUGUCACAUCCACCAUGAACCUGCACUAUUUUCUCUAGAACUGGGUUCUCCUUACACAGUGCUUUCCAAAGUCAUGCUUGCAAUUUUUGGUUUCUCUCUAUAGAGCUGGAGCUUAAACUUUUGGAGUACUGUCAUUUUAGGAAGUCUUACAGGAGUCUUAGAAAGACCUAGAGCAUGCCUGUUCCUUCUAAAAAUACUGCAAAUAUCAGUUCCUAUUUUAGAAAAAAAAAAAGAAGUUCAUCCACACAUUUGGCAUUAGUAGUAUUUAUUCCUUCAUAAUCAAGUAAGCAUAGAUUUUUUUUUCUAGUUAUACAUGCAUCUUUAUCACAGAAGUUACAGAAUUCAAAAGUCUGCUUUUCCCCAGAAAAAUCUACAAACCUUAUAAAAUACAAAUUUAACCAUAAUGUGGUUAUGGCCCAUGGUUUUUUACAUGGUGUUUAUCCCAUAAUAAACUAACUCAGCCUGUGAAGAUAUGUCCAAUGCCCAUGGUAAUGGUUGUGCUGGUAGAGCCUCUGCACUUGGCUUGUUCCACAGAGCCCUCAGAGCCCUGUCACUGCCCCACCACAGGCCCUGCCCAGCCAGCUGCCACAGCUCCUGCUCACCUUCAGUCUCUGAUUGUUGCAAAAAUAAGUUAAGACCAUUCCCAAGUGUAACAACUUCCUCUGAGGUUAUCUGGCUAUUACUAUAAAAAUUAAGAGAACUGAGCUACACUUGACAAUGGAGGGCUAUACCUGCAUGUCAGAACUAAUUUCAAUGGAAGGGAACACAUCCUGUCACCACCUGUAAUGGUACCAGUAAUGGAAAGUCAGUAUGAUGAAGAAUGCAGGAGGCUUUUGCAUCAGUACAAGUCUCACCCAGAAAGUUACUAUAGUUAAGCUUUUAUUUAAAAUAUAAAAUGCUGACUGGAGCAGAAGGUUACUAUCCAUGUUUCCAAGAGUUAAGACACAACAAUCAGAGUUGACAUAAAUAUGCCAUUGGUUGUUCUUAAUACAGCUAUUCAGGGAAAAUGUGCAAGUCAGUCUCAAACACUGCAAAAAUCACUUACACUUCACCAGAACAGGACCAAUCCAGAACACCAUCAUAAGAAUUUGACCACUCCACUCUAUUAUAAAAAUGACCAGAAAGGUUGUACAAAAUUCUCAGCUUGCAAUAUAAACUUCAUUAGGAAUACAAGUGCAUUCACAAUGAUACACUGACUUAUUCUUGUCAUGACAACUGAGAUACCACUGUGGCAGAGAAAAAAAUGCCAACUUAGUGCUUAAUUAAAACAAGAAGCCUUGGGGACUUAAUUACCUUGCAAGAAUUUUUGUAAUAUAGAGCAAGAGAAAGAAUAUAAAGUAUCAGCUUUUGCUGUUACACUAGACAAUAUCUAAAUUCAAUAAGCAGUGGCAGUUUUCUUUCUCUAGGUGAACUAUUUCCUAAAUAAUAAGAGACUAUAUUUUAGCAUAGUUUUCACCAUUAGCUUGUCCCAAAUGCUGUGCAACUAAUUAAUCAGUAUUUACCUUAAGCAUUGACAGAAUUUACCAUAAACAGUCAAAUUUAUUUCUUUAUAUCCAUGUAUGUAAAUUACAGCUUCAUAAAUGGCAUCAGCUGUUUCACAAUUUUCAGCUCUAGAUUUACAUCCACAUAAAGAGGAAAUCUGACAGCCCUUUAGAAGGGAAAUGUUUCUUAACUCUGAAAUAUUACUGUUAGACAGUAAAUUGUCCUGAUACAAUUUCAAACUCAAACAGAUUAAGGAAGUGAGACUGUGACAUGCAACUGACUUUUCACUCCUGAUCAUAUCCAGUUGGAUAUGUUUGAGUAGUACAUGACUUUGACCUUGUCCUCUGCUUUGGACUUGGCCAAAUCUAGCAGUGACCACAGAGGAGUGCCAGCUAUCAUCUGUAAUGCAGUAAAAUGUAUACCCAUAAGCACACCUGAUCUAUUUGUAUAUUCAUGCCAUUACAUACAUAAAGAGUGUAUGUAGCUUGAAGCAGCUGACAGCAAGGCUGGCUUGGUCUGCAGUGUGUAGAUUUACACAGUGUAACAAGCUUCAUAUCCUCUUAUCUAAGGGAUAAAAGUUUGGCAGUAAUUAUGAGGCUGCAGUUAGCAACACAACAAGUUAGUCCUAACAACACUGCCAAUUCAGUACCUACAUGAAGUCACUUCAAAAUCAUGGACUUGAAAGAAUAUUUUCAGGAGUGACUGAAGUAAAGUAGAUGCACAUGAAGCAAACUACAGCUUCAGCCAAAGGUGUUUGAAAGAUCAGUUUGUGAACAAAAGGCAGUACAGAAUAAUAAACAGGAGAGUUUAUUUAAUCUCUUGUAAACUAGGAAAGGAAACCAUUUAGUAGUUUAGUUACAAUAAUAAAAUAUUCUGGUGGUGAAAUUCUACCACAGCAGUUCCCAGCAGACCAUGAGGUGUUCCUACUAUAAGUUACAUACUCUCAUGGAAAAUACCAAGCAUCAUUCUGAUUUUUUUUCAACAAAACUGUUUUCUAAUUAAGUAGUUCUAAACCUGAUAGGAAAAAAGGUCAUGUAUGAAACCUCAGCAGCUGUUUUUGCCUUGAGCUAGUUCUAAUUACAACCUGUGUGAUCCUCCCUAGGCAAAGCUCAGUCAUUCUCACCCUCCUGCUAACUCAGUCACCAUUCCUGACUUCCCCAGCCCUGCUGACAUGCCCUUUGCUCUUGCAGCUUUCAUCAUUACCCCAGAUGCUUUUAUACUUUCUUGCUCAUUUUACACUGGUGAAAUUCCCCUAAAUAAGCAAACAACCCCUACAUUUCACUCAUGCACAUCAAUCUUUUAGUGGUUAAGAUGAAAAUCAUCCAAUGUAAGUGAAAUGUAUUUCACUCCUAAUCUGUCUGUUUUAGAAAGCUACAUUUAAUGGCAUAUAUGGAAAGCUUGAAAAGCAAAUGGAGUAAUUCCAGUAUUUACUGAUAAAUCCAAAAAUUCCUACUUGACAGUAAAUUCACCUGCCAACUUUAUUAGCUUUCUUCCUCAUCUUUGCAGAUUUAUAGCUAUAUGAGUAAUGAUAGGUUUUGCAAAAAAUACAGUAAUCCCAUUUUCUGACAUUUCUUCAAUAAGGCUAAUGCAAAACAGGCUGCACAUCAGAAAUGCUCUUUCUGAGUGCUUGUCUAUUCUUUGUCCUCCCUCUGGAGCCUGGGCUACUGCAGCUCCAGUGCUUAACACAAUUAGUCCUUCUCUGACAAGCUGAGGACUGGGUUCUAGACACUAGAGAUCACUGAUUUCAUAGGCUCCCUGUGCUGUUUCCAAACUGCUUCAUCCUCAGUACACACUUGAGAAAAAUACAAUUAAGACACAGUAACCUUGAGCUACCCAGUGAUAUGAUUUGAUAGAAAACAAAUAUCGGUAAACAAACACAAACAAACAUGAAUUGGAAUAAUGUGCAGAGACAAACUGCCUUGCCACUCUCUGUAAGCCUUGAUUUAAGCACAAAAAGGGAAAAAAAUGAAUUUGGCGCAUCUCUGUAAUUUUUGUUGGCAAGAAUAAAAAUAGUCUCUUAAAAAUGGGAGCUGAAAAUGGAAGCCUAGAUAUGAAAUAAAAAUGCCACUGUCUUUUACAAGAAGCCUCAGGUUGGUGUGGUCCAUGUGGCAUUGUGCCAGCUAAAUCCAGCCACAGGGCAAUACUAUGUGACCAACUGGGCAACAGCAAAAGCAGAUAUUUCUACAAGUGACUGGCUACUCUGGGGAUGAAAAUCACACUGGAAGAGGAUCUGGUAACCAAUUCAGGAAGAGAACUCAGUGGUUCUCUGCUCCCCAGCCUCCUCCCCUCCUUUUUCAAGGCAGAGCCCUUUGGUGGCUGCUCAAGCCCCUGUGGUGUAAAACCUGUGCCCAGAGCUUCUGCAGCUCCAGCUGCCUCUGCUCCUGCCCAGGCACUGCUGCCCUGUCACAGGAGCUGAGGCCACCAACUCUUGCACACAAAGUCACCUCUCCAGCAGCAUGGGCAGGAGGCUUUGGCCAAUGCAGGCACUCCCAGGAGUUAGAAGAGCCCUCUGUGCACCUACAGCCAUCCAGAAAACACAACCUGAGAUUCCUCACUUACUUUAUCAGCACUGAACAGCUCCAGCUAGGAAGGGCUGGGCCACCACCAGCUGCUGAGGAGAUACUCUGAAAAUUGCUUCCAUUCCUGAACACCAGAAAUGCCCUGCAAUGAACUGUAAAUCACUCAUAACUGUUAUAUUAUAACUUGGAAUAUAAGUAUAUUCUCUUCUCUCUACAUAUCCUGUUAUUUUCAUGCCACUAUUAGAGAGCUAUCUUCUGUUCCUCUGAAUUUUAAUAUUUAUAGUAAUUAGUGCAAAAAUAAAUAUUUCUCUUCAAACAAGAUUUCUCUUCUGGUUCAAAAGGUGAAUGCACAUCUAAUACUAUACAAAAUAAAUAUUACACAGGGUAUGGAAUAUGGAGUGCAGAUUACAAGCUGUAAACAGACACCACUUUGAAAAAUGCUUUCCAGAACCGACUCUAUGAUGUAGGAUUGGUAUCAUCUCUUACUUCAGAACUACUAAAUUCUGUUUGCAAAAUCAUAAAAACAAUGAAGAGCCUCAACUCAUUUCCAGUAGACGCAGUGUACUAGCAGCAAGGCAUUUACAUAUGCAGAAGAUUUUGAUAUGACGGAAUUCAAGAUGUUCCUGCAACUCUAAGCAUGUUUUAUAAAAUUGAACUCAAAGGUUUACAGCUUUUUAUUCCAAGUACUGGGGAAAAACCAAGAACAUGGCACUUGUGCUACAAGGCUAUAUACACGACUCUUAUCAUUUGAUGAGGAAUGCUCUUCCUCAUGCAACAAAGUUCAACUGCAUCUCAUCAGCUCUUAUCUAGGUCUGACAGUAUCUUUUUCUCCUGUUGAAACAAGUUUUUUUUGGCAUUGUAUUCACCAAAAAAAAUUAGAAAGGAAAUCAAGACAGUAUCAUACUGUGCAAAAUGAAAGAAAAAAGAUCCUUCUGUUUAGAACUAUUGCACAUCUCUCUGAUGUUAAAGGGGAUCCUUCUUUCUAAAUCUAAGAACAGCUAUGUAUAACAAACUGGGUAAAGCUUAGCACUGUCUUAUUUGGACAUCUCACUUUUGUUUCCAGCAAGGUGUUCUCCCUACUGCAGUGUAAAGAACAAAUUUCAAUGUUUGGGUUUUUUUGGUUUUUGGGUUUUCAGUUUUGCUUCCAAAGCAGUCAAUUGCACAGAAGUAAGUGGGGAAAACACCCACAUUUUUCCCAUACUGCAGAGAAGCCUUGAGAAAACAUAUGUUUGUAAUAAAUGGCAGCAUCACUGUGCUCCAUCUGGCAUACAAGAGAAAUUAUACUGGCAGGAAACAGAAAUCACUUAACUGAGAAAGAAAAAUCAAGGCUUAAUAGGGUCUAUAUAUUGUGAAGUCUUUUCUAUAAUAUGACAGACCCUCCACCUACAUUUCACCUCUUGUAGAACUUGUGCCAUUUCACCAGAUAUAUUAAUGAUUCCAAUUUUAAUGAAGCAGGCAACCUUAGGCUUCAGAUUCUCUCUUCUUCUUUCCAUCUUCUCCUAAAUCACUGUCUUCUGACUGGCUGCUGCUAAGGACUACAAACUGUCCUUCUGUGCUGCUCUGGUUGGAUCUGCUGGAAGCUGCUAUCAACCGGCUCUGCUCCUCCAAGUCCUAAGUUCAGAAGGGGGGUUGGGAAAUCAGAAAAAGAGUAUUACCCUUAAAGCCAUCUGCAAUGGACACAGGAUACCAUUAUUACGAUUUCUAAAUGAUCUAUCAAUACUAUCAGUAGACAGCUUUGGACAAAACUGCAAAAUAAAGUAAGUAGAAAAAACCUGAUAUUAAGAAAUAAUGAUGAAAGGUACCUUCUCAAUUUGCUUUUGUUUAUUCAGUUCUUUUUGCUGUUUCUCUUUGACUCUAUCUAUUUCCUUCUGCUUUUCUGAGGCUUUUCGAUCCUAAAGAGCAAAAAUGCAAAUAAAGUCAGUAACAACAGCCUGAGAUGUUUUGAGAAACUACUGACUGAUAUGAGCUUGCUCAAGACUGUGAUUUCACUGUUUGGAAUAUUCUGCUUUUAAAGGACUGGUAUGGUUGUUAAAAGUAGCAAAAUGAACCCUAUAUUCAAUAUUGUUCUACAGUAGAUAUUGGUCAGUGUUAAAUCCUAGGAAAAAAGUCCCUUAAAAUAUACAACAGUAUUGCUGCAUCUAGAGGCAUCUUGCAGAAUACAGUCUAUUACACAUAUUUAAAUAUGUCCCCUUCCUUUCAUUCCCCAUCAUCCUUUGCCCCAAAAAGGUUCUUACCAGUUCUGCAUGUAAAGCUAUCUGUUUGGCCAAUCCAACAGAGUCACAAAUCUAAACACAAAACAGAUGGAAAUAAUUAAAAAUGCCUUUAAAUUUAAGCCAGAAUCCCAAAUUAAAUACAACAGCACAUUAAAGCAUUUGCAGGCACUUAAAAUGACAGGUUUAACUUUUUCAGUACCUAAAAAAGGCCUUAGACAGCUUGAAUGAAUCUAGCAUCUUGGACCCCAUAUUCACAACUGAUACAAGUCACAACCAUCACCAAUACCUUUUCCCCUUCAUUAUUUGACUCAAAUAUAUAGCAGAUGGAAGUCUGGCGGCUCUCCACUCUCCCUCCCGAGGUUCUGAGCACAAAUCCAAACAGGCGCUUAUUCUCCUGGUGUGUAGCAUACAGCACUACACUGGGCAAAGGGAACUGCCAAAAGGAUCAGACAGGCAGAGAUUAAAACUGAUUCCAAAUGUUUGCCCCAUGAGGUUUCAAUACACUGCACAUUAAUUAAUGCACAACCACAGCACAAGAAGUUAUCGACCAAAUGUAAUUAUGAAACACAAACAGAUUAGACAGCAAGGACUAAAUUAUUCCAAAGACAAGCAAAUGUCAAAAAACAUACUCCACGUAAGAAAAAGGGACUACAUUUGCAGUGUGAGUCAGUCAUCUUCCUAAAAGUGUAUACACCCCUGUUUUAUUUUGUUUUAAUCAUUCAUUAUAGUUACAUUUGUGACUAAGCUUUCAAUACUUAGUUCCAUAUAAAGGCACUACUAUUCAAAAACCUUUACUGCAAUUAGCUCAGUUCUCCUAAUUAUAUAAGCAAGAAAAAAAAACCUCAACCCAUACAAAUCACAUACCCUCAUUAGUUUGUUACAAGAAAAACUGUUUUGCAUUCUUAUUCCUAAAAGAGGUUGGACUUCAAAUUAUCUUUUUAAGACUCAUCAAACAAUAAACUUAAAAAUUCUGAGAGUCCCCACCACAGCUGCUGUGAACUGAAAGGAUGAGUUUUCCUGGAAUUAGAUGUGUGCAUUUAGUACAGGGGAGAUACCCUCAGCUGAUGUGCCUCACUUGUAAAAAGUGACAGCUUUGGAGCAUUUUUGAACUUAAUGUCAAAACAUUAAAAAGAAAACAGAGAAGCCAAACAGCAAACAUAGCCUCUUGGACUUCAGCACUAAUGUGACUCCAUCAUUAAUGUUCUCUCUUUACUAUUUUAUCCUUUCAGAUCACAGGGAGAAGGGAAUCUCAAAAGCCAAUUUGACCUAUUGAAAUCACUCCCCUAAACCUGAUUUGCAGGCGUUGCUAAAUGUCUGCAUUGGUUUCCUAAUAGCACUGGAAAUUUGGCUGGCAAUCCCAUGCUAUCAGUGAUUUUUGCUAACAUCUAAUAAUAAUAUUUUUAAAGUAAAAUAAUUACAUUGCUGGGUAUUUAUCUUAAAAUGGAAAGUUACUUACUCGUAGUCUUGUAACUUGUGUCUGUGGAUCAAUUAACCUAAAAAUUUGUUUUUAAAGACAAACCAGAAAGUAAAUUUUACCAAAGUGCAAGAAGAUCAUUCUGUAAAUAAUCAUCAGUAGAAAUCAGGAAGCAAACUUACUUUAAACAGUCACAGGUGACUAACAAGUGUGACUCUGUCAUCCUGAAAACGUUGUGGAUGGCGCGAGCUGCGAGUAUCUGACGCAUUGUUUCAUAAACAACAUCUGGGCUUUCAUCAGACCUCACUUCCAUGGAGCCGAGAAAUCUUACAAUAAAUAACUGAUGAAGAAUUGAAUCUAAGAAAGAAAGUAUUGAAAAAACCAACUUCAUUUUGGGUUUCCCAUUCAAAACCAAAAGUGGACUGCAGUCAGGAAAACUCCAAGCUCCUCUUAACUUGAAAAGAGAUUAUUCCUACUUGGCAAUUAGAGGUGCAGUUACUACACAGCACACCACACAACUUUGCAUUUCGUUAAUGAGAAUACAAAAGAUGCAAUGAAUCAUUUUUAAAGCAGAUUUUCAGACAGCAGUUUGAUUUAACUUAUCAAAUAGCUUGCAAUGUAAUUAAGCAUUUUAAAACUGGUGUUAAAUUAGAAGAGAGAAGCUAGAGAUGAAAACAACUAUAAUUGUCAAAACUUAUUUUUAUUUUGCAUUGAAGUGAAAUUUUGUUUUACCUUCUGUUUCAGGUUUUGAGCCUCCAGAUUCACCAAAAGGAUUUGUGCGUCUAUCAAAAAAUGAAAACAUUAAAGCAGGAGUCAGAUUACAGGAACCAUUCAUGGAUAGUGCAGUAGUCUCAUGCUGUGUCAAAUGCCAACGUGUAGUGAGUUCACAAACUUGUCAUCUGGAGGAGUAAUGUAUCAUGAACCAUAAGGAGAAGCAAUUCUGUACUUGCUGUAUUUGAGGGCCCACACUAUGGAGAAUACCAGAUAUUAUUGUCCUAUUACUGCCAUAGAAAGUUUUGCUCACAUUUUUUUUUUUUUUUUAAUAUUUAAAUUAAGCCCAAACCAAAACCUCGGUAAUGUUUGAAAAGGAAUCGUUUUAGGGGGUGAAAUUUCACAGUACAGCUUUGGGAAGCACAGCCAAAAACCAGGCCCUUUCAGUACUCCAUUAGAGCACCCACUUCUCAUCACUGUCAAGGUGUUGAAUUACUUACUCAAGAGAAGCCCCUGGGUUUGUUUCAAAUGCAGCUUUCUCAAAACAUCACUGGGGUUUUACUCCUAGAGAUUCAAGAGAAAUGUGGCUAUUUCUGGCUCUCAGAGACAGAAUUACCAUCAGUUACAGAGAAAAGUGAAAAUACUCUAGGCUUCCAAGUCUGCACUUUUCAAAAAGAGUAAAGGAAUAAGCACAGGAAAUGGGGACACUUUAUUUAAAAUUUGUACAGGAAAUUACCCAUUCUCUCUGGCUGAUUGGUAGUUGAAAAGCUAUUGGCAAGGGUUCAAUAUAGUUCAAAUUAAGUUUUUUAUGGGAUUAAUUAAAGUGUUACCUUGAUAGUGUUCUAAAAACAAAUUUGAGGACUAUGAGAAAAAAAAAUUGUUCACAUCCUGACUGCCAGUUUAUUUUAUUAAUUAUCAGAAAUGUUUUAACUAAGAGAUAUCUAGUUUAAAGUAAUAAAAUUUUUCUAGAUUGAAGCCAAGAUGGCAUUGCUACAAUGUUUAGAUAACAUGGACUCAAUCAAGAACCAUCUCAUUAAAGGCUGACCUGUGUAAUUAUAGUAAAAGCAAAUUUUUUCUACCAGCAUCUUCCACUGCUCAGACUUUUCUUGCUGUUUAAUAUUUAACUUGAACAGUAAAUGCAGAAUCUCACAGGAUCUCUCAAAAGGCAAAAAUAAAACUUAAAUAUGUGUCAUCAGUAUCAGAAACCAAUAAAGUACUUAUUUUUUAAUAUCAAAGGUUACCUAUUUCUACAAACACACAGUUCUUUAUUGAAAGCCAUGGCUAAUUGAAAAUACUGAGCUCAACUCUAUCAUUUCUGCUAUGAAAAACAUUAUAACUGAUGACAUCACAGAAUAUUCUGAGCUGGAAGGGACCCCCAAGGAUCACUGAGUCCAACUCUCCAGUGCAUGGCCCACACAGGGAUUGAAUCCACAGCCUUGGUGUUACUGGCACCCUGCUCUGACCAACUGAGCUACACCAGGCUACCACAGGAGCUCAGCUAAGGCUUAAACUUUCCACUUCCUGCAAUACAGUUCAAGUCUGUUUUAAAUCAGUGUAUCCUGAAAGAUCUAGUUGGCUACCUGCUUAUCCUGCUAUACCAAGCAACAAUACAAAGAAAACUGUGGAAAAAAAGGAAAAAAUAGUAGUAUGUAUAUUUCAACUCUGACAUCUGUGAGAUGCAAUUCAAAAUUCAAAUAUUUUCCUAAAGGCAGGGGGAUGUAACAUUUUUGUGACAAGAAUCACAUAAAUUAGUUUUCAUCUCUUUGGCUGUCGUUGUUGUUAAGAGCAGCUGAUCUGCAAAUACAUUUUGUUCAUAUCUGAAUUCUAUAGAUAUAGCUCUAGAAAUGCAGUGAUGACUUACAGGUCUUUGGUUUUUAGUACAUCUCCCACUCAAAUAUAAUAACAAGUAGGAGAAAAUGCUUUAAUGUUUUGGAUGAACUCUUCAGAUGAUUUUAACUUGGCUGUAUGUGAAAUUACUCUAGAAGCCUAGACCAUUUUCACUCACCUUUCAGCUUAAGAGGAGUGUCAUCGUAUGCCAUCAUCACCUGGAGGCAGGGCUACCAAAUUUCUCUUGAGUUUCCAAGAGGAAAUAACCCAAGCUGCUGGGUGAGCAAGCAAUAGGAAAGGAAAAUACUUUGUGAAACCAAAAGUUUAAAAUAAAUCAGUAAAUAAAAGCAUUGGCUGUUAAAGCAAGAAAAGCUGCUGCAAAAUAGAAAACUACACCUUGACUCUAGUGAUGUAAUUAAGCCUUUUUUUUUUUUACAAUUCCAUCUAACAGUUUAACAAAUUGUUUUGCUCCACUGGCCACUGCAAAAUUUGUGACAUCAGUCAGGAAAAAGGCAAUGUGUGUGCUGGAGCUGCAUCUUAAAUGUGGUGUUCUUGUUCACUGCUUUUUGAAUCAGUAACAUUAACUUUAGGGAUUUCUUUCCUUCUCCCUACAUUUCCUACCUGCCCGAUUGCCCUGAUGACUUUGCUUGGCCAGGCAGAUCUUCACUGACUGGAGAUAUUAUGUCAAAUUGGAUGGGAGUGUCAGGGGCAACAAGGGAAUCCAAGGACAGUGCAGAGAGAGCUGUUGAGUCAGACCCCAGUGACCCUGUGCUGCUGGUGCGAGCUGCAGGAGGACGAGAUUGCCUACAACAAAACCAAAAAGGCAAAUUAGGGUAUGUGACUUCAGGAAUUGGACACAUGAGGAAAAUUCUCAUCAUGAAAUCACACAACAAAACAGAUGAUGAAACCAAGCAAAGUGUGCACCAGCUGCCAUUGGGAUUACUUGUAACAAUGGAUGCUCAGCAGUGCUUCAGCAGUGAAAGGUGUGUUCAGGAAAUUUUCCUCUGGCCUAUCAAAGAUUUAGUUCUGAUCACAAAAAUAUUUGUAGGUUUGUUAGGCUUUUUUUUCCCCCUGGAACUUUACCCAGGAUUUUCUUUAUACAUGUGCACGUCAAGUGCCCUCUGGCUGCUUCACUUACACAGCUGGCCUCAUGCUCUCGUGCCUCUGCUGGAAGGAAGGAGAAGGAGUGACAGCCUCCAGAGCUGACUGGUUCACACGGGCAGCAAUCUCCUGCAGCAGAGAUGGGAUAACUGGAAACAUUUUUCUCAAAAUAAGCUUUCAGAUUUUCUUUAUCUUCAACUGGGAAAAGUUAUAAACUCAACCCUUCAACCCUUCACGAGAAUCUCGCAUUUUUAAAUUUUCACCAACGCACCUGCAGCAUUUUCUUCCAACUUUUCUUCAAAACAUAACCUGAUGUUAACUUUCCCAAUUUAAAUGAACACAUUGGCCUUUUAUAAAAUACUGCCAAUGUUAAUAAAAGGAAGCAAUAGAGAAAAGCUCCAAUGAUAACUUUGGCAAAAUAAGAAAAUGUAGCCAGGAAAAGAAAAAAAUCUCAUUUAAGAAAUGCAGCCCUCAACUUUGAACUAAAACCCAUGAAGACACACUUCAUAUAUAGAUAUAUGUUCUGUUAUAAAACAGUUUUUAUUGGGCCAAUUCCCCUAAUUUAUUAAGCAGAAAUUGUUAUGUAAGUUUGUACCAAUAUAAACUUACUCUAUAAAUAUAAAUGUUAACAUAUUACUCAUAACCAUAAAUUUUAGUAGAGUUACCUCAGGGUUUUCACUUAGAUAUAUCUGCUUAGAUAUGUUGUUUAUGGUGCAUAUCCACUGAAAAAGAGGAAGAAAAAAGAAAACAAAUUAAUCUGUUGUGUUUUCUAAACAAUCUUGAUUGAAUACCUGCGCUGCUGUUUCAGCACUUUUUUUACUUUCUUUGUAAAUUCAGGGAGCCAAAUAUUCUGCACACCAAGCUUGUCAUUCAAUUCACUGCCACCUGCAUACUGCACCCUACACUUUAAGAUUUUACUCACAAAAAUUAUUUUAGUCAUACUAAAACUAAAGAAAGCUUAACUUACAACUCUAAGGAAUUUAAAAAAAAACUCAUCAGGAUUCUCUGUUCUUCUUUAUUCUGUACUGCAGAUGACAUUGUUUCCUCACAACAUUAUAAAAAUUCAAUUUGGCUUUUGUGGAAUUUGCUCGUUUCUUGCAUCUGCAAGCUAGAAUCUGCUUUCUCUCUCUGCUCUGGAAAACCAUUUGCUCCUGUUCCUGACUUUUCAAUUUUUAUUUGAAGGAGGAAGCUAACAGGAACACUAAGAUAAGCAAGGUGUUACAAAGAUAAUUUAUUAGUAAGUAAAAACAGAAAAAAAAUGCGGUAUCCAGCUAUGGUUAGGAAUGUAUUCUUUCUGUGGAGCAGAAAAUCACUGGGCUCCAUGCACACCUCCUAUAAGCUUACCUCUUCAUAAUCUUUUUUACUUUCUGCCUGUAAGAUUGAAGACCUGAAAAAGGAGAAUAGAAAACACAGUUUUGUGUAUGUACAAUGCCUCAAAAAUACAGUCAGCCAAGAAAUUACAUUUUCAUAUUUACACUUCAAACAACAAGUUAUGAAAGGCUGAAGACUGUUUGUGCUGAGUGCAGUCAACAUUUAAUUAGGAUGGGGAGGAACCUAUGCUUUCCUUUCAACAGGAAUCAGAAAAGGAACACAAUUCUAAUUGUGUCCAUGUAAUACUUAAGUAUUCAUAAAAUGCAAUAAUAUGUGAUUGUCAACUAAUUACCAUGAUCUUAUUUGGAGAUACUACUCUGCUACAUUAUAGAGCUUAUAAACAAAAAUCCAGUUAACGCAGUUAAAAGGAUAUCCCAGAUUUUGCUUCUAAAUAUCCACAGAAUAUAUCAAGUUAACAUCUGGCCAAAGGCAGACCAUCUUUCUUUUCUUAAUUAAUGAGUCCAGUGUUUCUUACAAGAACCAGCAGUGUAAGAGCACUCACUUUUUGCCAUCAAAAGAUGUGAUCUGAAAGCAGUACCGUCUGUCCUCACAGUCCACAGCCAUCACAGAGCAAUUGUCUAUGUCCAUGACAAGUCCCCCAGCCACAUCUCCUCUUGCCUGGCUCAUCAGAUUUCCACCCUGAGUGAAGUAAAACUGUCUCUCCCAACUGGAAGACACCAGCCCUGUCUUACUAAAAGAUAAAAAGAAGUCUUCAGUUAGUCUUCCUUUUUGCUCAGACUCUGUAACUUUAGUGCUGCAAUUGUGUUCUAAUACAGAAAUGAAUGCCUCAUUCAGUAAGUAUUUUAACUGUUGUUGUCAAAGUAAUCAAUCUUUUUUUUCAAAAUUCCUUGGAGCUUACUGUAUAAAUGACAGUAAAAAAUUUUAAAUGUUACAACUUAUUUUUAAUAGCUCUGAAAACAGCAGUAUGACUUCCUUAGAGGCACAGCCCCCUCCUGUGGACAAUGAGCCACUGCUGCAUGGAAUCCAGAAGCUCCUUCCAAGGGUAUUUUGGCUAACAGAGUGUUUUGCCUUGUUUAGAUCAAAAUUACAAUGUUUUAUUAGUAAUUUGAAUCCCAAAGCUUUAACAGACACUUCCAGAACAAUCCUGAUAGAUGGAAUCUUGUUACUUCCCAAUUAGGAUGCAGAGAAAUUACACUCUCAAGCCCUUUUUUUUUUUAAACUGUGAAAGUUCAGGAAAAUUUAGACUAAAAUCAGGAUAAUUAUGCUUUGCACCUGAAUGACAUUAUAUCAGUGCAACAAUGAUAAUUUAAUAUUAACUAGGUGAAGAAGUCCAAAGAAAGAAAUAAAACAGCUCUUAUGUGACUUAUUCAAUUAAAUGUAUAAAAUCAGCAUAGCUAACAUCUAAGAAAAAAUUCCAGCUUCUUUAGCUUUCCUUUCCCAAAAUUAAAUACUGUGGAAUUUUUAAAUAACAAGUUACUCUUACUUUCUUGCAUUGAGAUAGCCAGCUUUCCGUGUUAGAUUCCUAUGGGCAGGAAAUUUGGCAGGAUCAGGAUCAGGCAAAUACAGUGGAUCACUGGCUACUUCCAAGUCCUCUAUAGUUUGUUGCAUGUUUUCUACUUCACAAUCCAUCUCCCUGCGAACACUGAGAUAAAAAUGUGUUAUUAACAAAGAUAAUUUGUUAAUAAGUAGAAACAUAAAAAAAUAAUCUUCAUAAAAGUUCAAAAUUCAACAAAGCCAACUUACUUCUGUACACUUGUGCCAAUAUUGGUCAAAAAUUCUUCCAGUUGCUCAGUAAGAUUUUCUGAACCCAUUUUAAAAAAGCUUAUCUUUAAAGAAAAAAAGGAGAAAAAGGGAGAAUUUAGUCAUUAAUAAAACUACAUUAACAAUUAACAGAUGGAGUCAUAGGAGGUUAAAGUUUCUCAGAGAAAUCUGUUUUCAUCUCUCAUUCCCACCAAAGCCUCUUACUAAAAGCAGCAGAAUGUGUGUUUGAAGGCUGCUGGUGCACUGCAGUGGCACUUGUGUCACAAGGAUGUGAACAGAGCUGCCUGGAGGAAAUACAGAAACACACAGGAAACACUCCCAGGGCCUCUGUGUCCUUUUUCAGUGCCACCAUUCUGCUGACUGUUGUUAUGGGGGGUUCUUUGGGGCACACAGGAGAGAACCUGUGGGGAUCUGUCCAGGGCCAUCCAUAGGGAACUACCAAUAUGUAUUUUAAGCACAAGGUACUCCAUAAUGGGCCAGAAAAUCUGCCACAGCUAAAUUGAGGUUAGAACAGGAAGCCCUGGGACAUGGCCCUGCCCAUCUGUUUCUUAGAUUCAGCAAAAAGCUCCACCUAAGCAAGUUUGCACUUACUUUACUGCACAAACAUCCAGAACUUGGCUCUUAAAUACAAGCUGCAAAGUUUCAAAAGAAAGCAAGAGUUCUUGCCUUUGGAAAGCUUUCAGACAGUGUUCAGAAGUUGAUUUCUACUCAGGUCACUGUAGCAGUGCCAGAUGCUGGAAAGCUUGGCUUGCAAAAAAACCCAAAGCUCAUGCUUAAUAACAUACUUCCCAAAAUACAAAUUGAGUCUGUCCAAAUAACUUUAUCAUGGUUGUAUUUUCUGUUGCACCCAUCCUCAAGUAAACCAAUCAUGAACUUAUUAAUAUUAAGCAAAACCAAAACAGAAUGUUUUUUAGCAUUCUGGCUCUUCCACAGCCUUGAUUGACAACAGCAGUUUUGUGGCUUUUGAUGAGUAUCUCAUUUCAGAACAGCUGCCAUAGGAAUGAGUUUAACUGUCUCCAUGUUAUUUGCUGAGAAGGUUCAUGUGCACUUGCAUGAAAGCUCUAAUCAGCUCUUACAUUUAGUGGAACCAACUGCCCAGCAGUGAAAAUCUAGGCAAUACAUCAAAUCCAGUUUGAUGAGUUUUGGGGGAAAUGAACAAUUAUAUUUAUCACCCAGACUUUGCUAAAAGACUGCAUGGCAGUGAGGGCAUCUCGUGCAGAGAUUGCUGCAGUGAGUGGGCACUGAGCAGUGCUAACAGCACCAUCAGGGCAGCAGCUGUGGCAGCCCAGCAAACUGCAUGGGUGGCUCUUGGUCUCCAUUUCCUUCCUUGGACUGCAGAAGAGGACUUGCAAUGGAGUUCAGUACAUCAACCUUCAUGAAGUACUUUUAUUUCUUCUUUCAGACCUACAGCUUUCAGAAUCUGAAAUUACCUGAGCUUGCAUGUAUCCUAGCAAGGGUUCUAGCAGAGAAAUCUUCUUUUUGUACUGGAGAGUAUUUAAUGCACAGAAAUAAUGCAUCAUAGUCUGAUGCUGUUUUUUCCUUGAAGUAUAUACAUCUUCUGUAACUUCAGCCUUGAUCUGAAGAGACACAGACAAGGGGAGGGAAAAAAAGGAAUGUUUGAGAUUGGCAUUGAUCACUUGCCUUCUGGACAGCUUUAUAGUCAGCAUGGAAAAACCCAGUCAUGUUCUACCCUCUAUCACCAGCUACUGCAUAUUUUACUAUUCUGCUUCUCUAAUUUAAACAUGAGAUAUGUGAAAAACAAAUACAGCAUUCUUUUCUACCUGGAAACUGUCGUUAUUUCUUCACAAAAACAAACUGAAUAUGACAUCACAGUAUUAUUCCUAAAGCACUGUCAGUGUUACAGGACAGGCAUGUAUUGGAGAAACCUGCUUUUCUGUCUAGACUGCUAAAAGCUAUCAAAUGUCACACAGAAUCUGCCACACACUGUCUUCCAUCAUAAAUACAUAUAUAAGAUGAAAAUUAUUCUUAUCUUCUUUAAAAAUCUUUAUAUUAAGAUUUUGUUUUACAAACCUUUUCAUUUUCCUUUCUUUUUGACAACCGACUGUAUCUGGUAAUGGCAGCAUCAUGGUCUAAGCAAUCAAGAGAGAAUUUAUGAUCAUUUUCACAAAUUAAUGACUUAUGAAACAGAGCAGAAAACCUUUUAUAUUACAGUGUUACACAGAGAGCUGAAUGGAAAGUUGUCAUACUAACACCUUGAGGAAUAGUUCUUGUCUGUUUAUAAUCACUUCACUGCAACAAAUACUUGGGCUGAAGGAAAAUUCUAACCAGAUGCAAAUGUUGCCAAAUUGUUACAAAGUUCCCUAAAUAGCCACUAUUUUUCAAAGAAGAACUGUCCAUUAAGUAGGGAAACUUUACAUUAUGAAAACCUGUACCUAAUCUUUUUUGCUUCUAAAGCAAUGAAACAAUUUUCACCGAGAGAAGUAGAAUCUUAUUUAAAUAAUAAGUUCUCUACAUGGAUAUAUUAGAGGCAGCUAAAAUUUCUGAAUAUCAGGAAGAGAACUAUGAAAUUCAUUCUAGAAAGGUAAUUUUUUUAAAUUGAUCUGGUCCUGUCUUUAAGAAGCAAGCUAGCAUCUUACUCUUUUUAUAAUUUUGGUAGCAUAAUCCUACAUUGUUUAAUAAUCAUACAUACACUUAAGGUUUUGUAAAAAAACUCUUUCAAUUUGCCUUAAUACUUCAGUACACAGAGCAGAGAUUUACAGGUGAACCAAGGAAAGCUGAGUGCCUAAGUAUCACUCAGAAAAAUUACACCUUAAUUAAUUACUUAAAGCCUACAGGCUUAACUCCACUAGUUAAGGAGAAAUAAUAAUCUACAAUAAUACUGUUGUCUUGCAAUAUUGAUAAGACUAAGUACUUUACACUUACCAUUGCUUGCAAUUUGGAAAACUUCUUUUAGAGUUAAUAUCUCUAAAAAAAAACAACAUAUCACAAUUUAAGUAAGUUCUUAUUAAUGUAACGUUCAUGUAUUACAAUUUCUCAUGUAAUGUUUCACUAGUGAGCAAUUGAAGGUACCAUACUGAGCUACCAGCACAGGCACUACAUGGCCAGGGAAGUCUGCUCCUGCCUGGGGCCUGAGGGUCAUUUCUGGGCUUACCAAAGGAAAAAGGAUGAAUUUCUUUUCAGAAGUCUUUGCAAGUCAUCAUCAAUGCAAAUGUGUCACCUGUGGCUCCAGUCUGGGCUCUGGUUUGAGCUGGGGACAUGCAAGCAUGGGAGAUGGGCAGUAUCAAAGCCCAAACCACAGUGGGACUCCUCCUAGCUAAAAUCAGCUGAGUUCCAGCUGGUUAUUGCCUCCCUGUGCCAGGAACUGGAACCAGUACAAAGCCUUACACCUGUUCUGAUCUUGGCUGUGGUUUGUGCCACAUUACAAUACAAACCAGCCAUAAUCAACUUUAUGGUAAAGCAAGAACAACAAAACUUUCCAGGAAGUGCCUACAAAGCUCAUUAAGAAGUGUAGGGUUAAUACAAACUACACCAGCUGGUGGCUACAUCUUGCAGUGGGAAAAUGUCAUUUGGAAUGACUGCCUCAGGGAUGCCUCUUCAGUAAGUACUAACAGGAGAGUUUUCAGGUCCUGAGAAGCAAUAUCAGCCUUGGAAUAGUCAUGAUCCCUUGCUCAAAAAAAAAAAAAACCCAACCAAA
This is an RNA transcript of Passer domesticus (house sparrow), 21770 nucleotides long. It is a transcript of the gene named ankyrin repeat and SOCS box containing 14, with no coding region annotated. NCBI's taxonomy places the organism in Eukaryota, Metazoa, Chordata, Aves, Passeriformes, Passeridae. The record is from RefSeq and is a predicted model, not a curated record. The transcript has 10 exons.